This 253-nucleotide ribosomal RNA is filed under the name uncultured bacterium. RNAcentral describes it as "partial 16S ribosomal RNA". It matches the Rfam family "Bacterial small subunit ribosomal RNA", at positions 524 to 776 of the family's 1533-position model. The record is from RNAcentral.
UACGUAGGGGGCAAGCGUUGUCCGGAUUUAUUGGGCGUAAAGAGCGUGUAGGCGGUUAGGUAGGUCCGUUGUGAAAACUCGAGGCUCAACCUCGAGACGCCGAUGGAAACCAUCUGACUAGAGUCCAGAAGAGGAGAGUGGAAUUCCUGGUGUAGCGGUGAAAUGCGCAGAUAUCAGGAAGAACACCCGUGGCUAAGGCGGCUCUCUAGUACGUGACUGACGCUGAGACGCGAAAGCGUGGGGAGCGAACAGG